Molecule: long non-coding RNA, 1947 nt
Filed under: Daucus carota (carrot)
Lineage: Eukaryota; Viridiplantae; Streptophyta; Magnoliopsida; Apiales; Apiaceae
Description: long non-coding RNA (DCAR_LNC005942)
Source: RNAcentral
CAGUUAAAAUUUCUGUUCAAACCAGUUAAUCUCUAAUUAAUUUUUAUUCCGUAUUCCAGACUUCGUAACUCUAAACAAAUUUGCACCGAAAUUUUUUAUGGAUUGCAGUAAUCUGACCCGAACUUUAUUCAAAUAAAUGUAUAGUAAAUAUCUUUGAGUAUCAAUAAUUGAAUCAUGCAUGCAAUAAACAACUUCCCAAGAAUGCAAAAAUGUUUCUAGUUAACUUCCAAGAAUCUUGGCUUUCUAAGUUUAAGCUUCAAGUAAAGAAUUGCAUAUUGACACAUGCACUUAAGGUUUCUUAUAAAUAGUAGUAGGUUUAAAUAGAAACUCUCAAACAUUUUUCACUAAACCAUGAGGACCUCCUCCUAUUCUUUCCUAUUUCUCACAAUUCUUCAUGUUCUUUUGCCUAGUCUGAUCACUAACCACCACCACUCCGCGGCAGCGCUGCCACUCUCCACCGAUACCCGAUGGAUAGUUAACGAGUCCGGCCAACGAGUCAAGCUGUCAUGCGUAUCUAACAUUCCCCCUCACUCGAGAGCCCAUUUAUGGGUCGAAGAGUGGAUCACGGGCGCUCAUCUUUAGAGCAUUAAUUUGCCAUUCGUGCCACGAUAAAUUGUGAGAAUAUUGGGGGUGGCAGGGAUCGAACCUGAGUCCUCUGCCAGAGCUCUGAUACCAUGUCAAGUGACCAAUUCUCCUAAAACCUCGAGGUGUUAGGAGGAGGGCUUACCAGGAUCAUAUUCUAACAUUCCCCCUCACUCGAAAGCCCAUUUAUAGGUCGAGAGUGGAUCACGGGCGCCCAUAUUUUUGGGGCAUAACUUGUCUUCGUGUCCUUAAUAAAUUCUGAGAAUAUUGGGGGUCACAGGGAGUCGAAUUCGAGUCUCCCGCGAGCCUAAGCUCUGAUACCAUGUUAAGGAACCAGUUACUCUAAAACCUCAAGGUGUUAGAGAAUGGCCCUUUCCAGGAUCUUAUAUUCUAACACCAAAUUAUAUAAUUACAAUGUCAAUACAUUUUGCAUUAACAUGUCGAAUCAAAUCAAUGCAGAUCGAGAGCUAACGUGGUUGUUUGCUCACACGAGACAAAAUUACAGCAAUGUGCGCCAAAAAGAACUCCUAAUUAAUCACUAAAAUUAUUACUACUAAUCAACUCAUAAGAUUAGUAAAGAAAUGAGAAAACUCUCAAGCAAAUAGUAGUAGUUGAAGUGCCUUGCAAGGCCUUCCAAAACCUUCAAAAAUCCUGAAAAUUUGGUGACUCGCUUCUUAAUUGCUUCAAGGCAUGGCUAAACUUCAAAAUUCACAACCGAAAGGCAUGGGACUUGAUGUUCGAUACUCAUUACUCACCAUGCCUAUACGUGAAUUCAUAUUCAAAUUUCCAAUUCCGAAAUCCUAACAUAUCGUAGGGAUUAUUUCAAAAGUUGAUGAUUAAUCACGAUUAGUUAUCGAUUCAUCCAAAUUUCAAAUCAAUAUUAUAUUUAAUUUUUCAAUUAAUCAUCCAGUUAAAAUUUCUGUUCAAACCAGUUAAUCUCUAAUUAAUUUUUAUUCCGUAUUCCAGACUUCGUAACUCUAAACAAAUUUGCACCGAAAUUUUUUAUGGAUUGCAGUAAUCUGACCCGAACUUUAUUCAAAUAAAUGUAUAGUAAAUAUCUUUGAGUAUCAAUAAUUGAAUCAUGCAUGCAAUAAACAACUUCCCAAGAAUGCAAAAAUGUUUCUAGUUAACUUCCAAGAAUCUUGGCUUUCUAAGUUUAAGCUUCAAGUAAAGAAUUGCAUAUUGACACAUGCACUUAAGGUUUCUUAUAAAUAGUAGUAGGUUUAAAUAGAAACUCUCAAACAUUUUUCACUAAACCAUGAGGACCUCCUCCUAUUCUUUCCUAUUUCUCACAAUUCUUCAUGUUCUUUUGCCUAGUCUGAUCACUAACCACCACCACUCCGCGGCAGCGCUGCCACUCUCCAC